CCUACGGGUGGCAGCAGUCGAGAAUCAUUCACAAUGGGGGAAACCCUGAUGGUGCGACGCCGCGUGGGGGAAUGAAGUUCUUCGGAUUGUAAACCCCUGUCAUGUGGGAGCAAAUUAAAAAGAUAGUACCACAAGAGGAAGAGACGGCUAACUCUGUGCCAGCAGCCGCGGUAAUACAGAGGUCUCAAGCGUUGUUCGGGAUCACUGGGCGUAAAGCGUGCGUAGGCUGUUUCGUAAGUCGUGUGUGAAAGGCGCGGGCUCAACCCGCGGACGGCACAUGAUACUGCGAGACUAGAGUAAGGGAGGGGGAACCGGAAUUCUCGGUGUAGCAGUGAAAUGCGUAGAUAUCGAGAAGAACACUCGUGGCGAAGGCGGGUUCCUGGACAUUAACUGACGCUGAGGCACGAAGGCCAGGGGAGCGAAAGGGAUUAGAUACCCGGGUAGUC
RNAcentral lists this ribosomal RNA (446 nucleotides) under uncultured bacterium. Its description in RNAcentral is "partial 16S ribosomal RNA". It matches the Rfam family "Bacterial small subunit ribosomal RNA", at positions 338 to 795 of the family's 1533-position model. The record is from RNAcentral.